Oncorhynchus masou masou (cherry salmon) is the source of this 515-nucleotide long non-coding RNA. RefSeq lists it as uncharacterized. NCBI's taxonomy places the organism in Eukaryota, Metazoa, Chordata, Actinopteri, Salmoniformes, Salmonidae. The transcript has 3 exons. The record is from RefSeq and is a predicted model, not a curated record.
AUCUGUUCUCUUUUCUGCUUUGUUUUUGCAGUGGAGUGCUUUGAGAACAAACAACAGUACUUUGCUAACAGACUGAGCGAAGCCAUGAAGGGUAAAAGUGCCAAGGAGAAGGUGGUGACCAGGAUCGUCGUGUCUCGCUGUGAGGUGGACCUCAUGAAGAUCAGGACAGAGUUUAAGAAACUGAACCAGAAGUCCCUGUACCAGACCAUCGCUGAGCACACUAAAGGAGACUAUCAGAAGGUCCUGCUGAGUCUGUGUGGAGGAGACGACUAAAGUCCAACUGGCACCAACUGUCACCUUUACCCAGAAGCCAAUGCCUUGUUCCUAUUUUGAUUCAGUCUAGUGACACAGACAUUGAGAACUGGUGCCUCUAUUCACAACACCCAGCAGCACUAGAGUCAUCAUUACUCAGAUUGCAUCACCUCUCUGUGGAGUAUGAGAUAUCCAACGGAAUUAUUGAUAGUAAAUGGUUUUUAUGCAAUGUUUUUUUUGAAAUUAAAUAAUUUUUUGUUAAA